Molecule: ribosomal RNA, 1101 nt
Filed under: Triticum aestivum (bread wheat)
Lineage: Eukaryota; Viridiplantae; Streptophyta; Magnoliopsida; Poales; Poaceae
Description: partial small subunit ribosomal RNA
Source: RNAcentral
AUGGAGGACGCGACCGAACAGCCGUCCGUCUCGUUGCCUGAUGACCUGACCGAGGAGAUAUUCGCGCGGAUGCCGGCCAAGUCGGUGCAGCGCUGCCGCUGCCUCUCUCGCGCCUGGGCCGCCACACUCUCCUCCCAGGGCUUCGUCGACCGUCACCUCCGCCUCGCCAACCGCCGUGGCUCCCCUAGGCUCUACAUCCUCCCAGAGUACGGCUCGAGAGACACCACGGUGCACGCCUGGUCGCCCGGCCGCCCCCUCGCCCGCCUCCGCCGCGUCGUCGCCGUCACCGGUCAGUGCCGUGGCCUCGUCGUCCUAGAGGCUGAUAGGCCCAUGAGCAGCAUCGACUUUACCUACGAGGUCAACAACUACGUCUGGAACCCCUCCACCGGCCAGAUCACGGCGCUCCCCAAGGGCAAGCAGAAUUUGGGGAUUGGCUACGACACGCGCAUCCGCAAGCACAAGUGCCGCGGCGAGCUUCCCCCGGCGUGUGAGGUGUAUGUACUCAACUCCAUGGGACAAUGGCGGCCGCCAGGCUUUGCAACGAAUUUCUGCACGGACCAGAGCAUAUUUGCGCAGGGCCACAUGUACUGGGUCGCGGAGCCGGACAAUAAGUUCAACUUCGAGAGGAUCAUCAUGUCCUUCUCGAUCUUGCCGCCACCGCCUGUCAAAAUGUACCCCUGCCAGAUAAGGGAGCUCGACGGGCGCCUCUGUGUCUUCAACAAUACAGAUGAGUUAAAGCGCUCGUACGACAUCUGGCUGCUGCGUGACCACCAGGGUGGCCUUUGGGAUCUCCGUUGCAGCAUUGACCUGGACACGCCACCGCUGGCAGACACUCAGUUAAAGCACUCCCGUUCGGUCAUCCCACUUGGCAGUGUUGAUGAUGCCAGACGCUUGCUGCUCAGACCGGAUCUUGGUUGGAUCAAAAGCGAAAGUUUGGACUCCCACCAGCUUUUCAUGUACAGACCUGCGACCGGAGAUGUUGAGGACCUCCUCGCCGGCGGCGGCAUACUUACUCACCACACCAUGGCCCGAAGAGUUAUGGCACCAUAUGACGAAAGCCUUGAGUCCACCCGUAACCAUGAUAGUAAGUCACAAUCAUGA